This 491-nucleotide ribosomal RNA is filed under the name uncultured bacterium. RNAcentral's name for it is "partial 16S ribosomal RNA". It matches the Rfam family "Bacterial small subunit ribosomal RNA", at positions 29 to 507 of the family's 1533-position model. The record is from RNAcentral.
AGUGAACGCUGGCGGUAGGCCUAACACAUGCAAGUCGAACGGCAGCACAGUAAGAGCUUGCUCUUACGGGUGGCGAGUGGCGGACGGGUGAGGAAUACAUCGGAAUCUACUUUUUCGUGGGGGAUAACGUAGGGAAACUUACGCUAAUACCGCAUACGACCUACGGGUGAAAGCAGGGGAUCUUCGGACCUUGCGCGAUUGAAUGAGCCGAUGUCGGAUUAGCUAGUUGGCGGGGUAAAGGCCCACCAAGGCGACGAUCCGUAGCUGGUCUGAGAGGAUGAUCAGCAACACUGGAACUGGGACACGGUCCAGACUCGUACGGGAGGCAGCAGUGGGAAAUAUUGGACAAUGGGCGCAAGCCUGAUCCAGCCAUACCGCGUGGGUGAAGAAGGCCUUCGGGUUGUAAAGCCCUUUGUUGGGAAAGAAAAGCAGCAGGUUAAUACCCCGCUGUUCUGACGGUACCCAAAGAAUAAGCACCGGCUAACUUCGUG